RNAcentral lists this ribosomal RNA (369 nucleotides) under Ophiotheca calongei. RNAcentral describes it as "SSU rRNA". It matches the Rfam family "Bacterial small subunit ribosomal RNA", at positions 558 to 930 of the family's 1533-position model. The record is from RNAcentral. Lineage: Eukaryota; Evosea; Eumycetozoa; Trichiida; Trichiidae.
GCGUAAAGGGCAAGUAGGUGGUAAUAAACUUAAAAAAUGAAAGACUAGAUACUAAUCUUUUAUGUUUUUUAAAAAAAUUACUUGAAUAUCAUACGCGGGAUUCGUACGAAAUAUGAAGCGGUAAAAUGUAAAGAAAUAUAGGGACGGACAUUGGUGAAAGCAAAGACCGGGUAGAUUAUUAACGCUGAGAGACGAAAGACGGGGAGCAAAGAAGAUUAGAGACCUUCGUAGUCCGUGCUGUCAACGCUGAGUUUUCAAUGUAGAAUUAUUUAGAAUAAAUUUAGCGUUUAAGCAAACGCAUUAAAUUUCCGCCUGGGAAGUACGAUCGCAAGAUUGAAAUCAAAAGAAUUGACGGUGACUUGUACAAAG